Molecule: long non-coding RNA, 2167 nt
Organism: Beta vulgaris subsp. vulgaris (sugar beet)
Lineage: Eukaryota; Viridiplantae; Streptophyta; Magnoliopsida; Caryophyllales; Amaranthaceae
Exons: 4
Source: RefSeq, a predicted model, not a curated record
UCUCUCUCUCUUCACCACCAUAAGCAUCUCUCAGGCAACAACUCGUCUUCUUCUUUACAGUACUCCUGAUUUUUACAAUUUCACUUUUGAAAAAAAAAUCCCUAAUCCCCAAAUUCUAGGGUUUUCAUCUCCAUCCCCGAAAACACAAGAAAUACCAAAUUCAAAUGUCUUUUUUCUCUCUCUUUUCUCGCAAUCUGCAACUUUAAACAUUCAACGUGAUAUGAUGAUUUUGGGGUUGGUAUGACAGAGUUACGAAUCACAGCGUCAUUAAUGGAGGUUCAAGCUCUCAACUUACGAAUGGAUUAUUCAAAGAUGGAUUUACUCGCUUGUCGACUCGGCGUUUGCGAAGCAUUUUCUGAAACGAAGUUGCUUUUGAUUCCUGUUAAGUUCUUUGAUCCAUCGAUUUUAGUUUUGUGCUCUUUUCAAUCUCUUCAUGUCGAUUUGCUUUUUCUUGUCAUAAUUGAUGGAUUCGAUUAAGUCUUGUUUGAAAACUGUUAUAUGAUUUGAUGUUCAUAGACUUUGAACAUAGUCAAAAUAUAACUAUGACAGCAACAAAAACUCCAGUUCAUAUUGCUACGUAAUUGUUAGAAAAUAGAAUCAAAGUUUGCAAACUUUAAUCAUAAAAUUGAAAUCUAACAUCUAGAAUGGGGGAUUACUAUAUUAUGAUAUUCAGAAAAAGUUGUUGAGUUUGUUAACAGAUUAAUGGUUCAUCAAAACUGCCUCUAGGAUCUUAAAAGAUGAUUUAUGAUCAUAUAUUUAGAGAUGUCCCUAUUUAGAUUGAGUGAAGAGAAAAUUUUGGAAACGACCCAGUUAUAGAUGACAUAUUUUUUAGAAAUUGACGAUUAAAGUUUUGUUGUUUUGGUAUCAAUGUAGGAAAAGACUAUUUCAUUUGGGCUGGUCCUACACCAAUGGUAAACAUCUCAAAGCCUGAGUUAAGUAGAGAGGCCUUAACAGAUAUACAAGACAUUCUGAAACCGCGGUGGAACCCAAUUGUCGCGAAGCUAUUUUUGGGGUUUGUCAACUAUGAAGGAGAAAAAUGGGCUAAACAUCGUAAAAUGAUAAACCCUGCCUUUCAUAUGGAGAAGUUGAAGGAGAAGAUUGCUGCUGAACAUGUUGCCGAGCUAGACAUGUGGCCAGACCUUAAUGCACUCUCUGCUGAUGUGAUCUCGAGAGCAGCCUUUGGUAGUAGCUAUGAAGAAGGACAAAGAAUUUUCGAACUUCUUAAGGAGUAGACAAGGAUGGCUCUUGCUAUGCUGCAAGCAGUAUACAUUCUAGGACUCCGGUAGGCAACCACGAGCACGAGAAGAAGUUUUGCAGACAUUUCAGAACAGUGUACCAGACUUUGAAGGUCUAAGCCAUUUGAAGACAUUCUGGAUCCCAGAUUACUUCAUAAUUCACAUAUUACUUCUUUGCAAAUCUUACAAAUGAGCAAGUGAAGAAGUUGUCAGGUGUGGAUGAUGUGAAACAAGUUAGUCCAGUGCAAAUAUAUGACACUCCAGAAUCCAUAGCAGCAGCUAUGAGAUUUCACUCGUAAGCUAGCUGACAGUAUGAAUCAAUCUAUGCUGUUAGAGUGGCAUGUCUGUGUUUUGAUUUGAAUUCUUUGAUUAUUUUUUUUUGGUGAAAAGAUUUUUGGUAUUUGACUAUGAUGGUUUCUCUUGUUUUUUAAAGGAAGUCUGUAGGUUUCUUUAUUGAAAGAAAAUUUUGUAGGUUCAUUACUGUUGAAUUUCGAGAUUGGGUUGCUUUUUGAGUGAAUUGUGUCCUGAACUUGCAUUAAUUCUAGUAGAAGAGAAAGAAGAGUUUGGGUAAGUUUUGGACGAAAUAAGUGAAGUGUGGGUAAGGGGUAAUUGUAAUUAGGAGAUUCAAAAGUGAGUAAUCUCAAUUGUUCAUAAAAGUAACUGCAUUUAUUCAAUCAAGUAAUCCUUUUCAUUCGUAAGAGUAGAUUGUUAAGUUUCUCAUUUUCUCGAUUAGUCAAACAAGUAAUGUCGUUUAAUCUAUGAGUAGUCUCGUUUAAUCUUACAAAUAACCCAUUAAUUCGCAAUAGUAACCUUAUUUAUUUAUAGGAGUAACCUCAUUUUGAUCAUACGAGUAACCUCACUUGUUCACAAAAGUAACCGUAUUUUAUCAAACGAGUAUCCAUUAUUAGUAAGGGUGAAUUGAUUAGUUUUCC